Molecule: long non-coding RNA, 527 nt
Organism: Chenopodium quinoa (quinoa)
Lineage: Eukaryota; Viridiplantae; Streptophyta; Magnoliopsida; Caryophyllales; Amaranthaceae
Exons: 3
Source: RefSeq, a predicted model, not a curated record
ACCAAAAUUGCUUCAAAAUACUACAAAAUUGCUUCAAAAUACUACGAAAUUGCUUCAAAAUAUUGCUAAAUUCCUUCAAAUGUCUACAUUUGCGAAGAAAUUCAACAAUCGCAACAACAUUCACAGAAAGAAACCGAAAAAUAUAUUUCGAAUUAGAGAGAUAAAGAGAAUGAUGAUUCAGAGAAGAAUCAUGUUCGUUGAACAUAACAAGGCAUAGUCUGAAGAAACGUGAACCAAAUUAGGAAGCAAGGAUGCGGAAUUGAUGCUAUUUGAAGAAAAACACUAAAUAUAGGUUAAAUCGAAGAUAAGCAAGGAAGUUUGCAAAUGAAUAGUACAUGUUAUAUGUUCAUUUAUGAAAGUGUAUAUGUUCAUUAAUGAAUGUGUAUAUGAUCAUAUCUUAAACUUCCUCCAUUUCUUUUUACUUGCAACACAGCCUUGUGGCACGUGUUUUGAGGUCGGGUUUAUAUAAUGUAAACGGAUAAAUUAUUCAUUAUAAUUUUUACAAAUGAUACUUAACCCUAUUCUAA